UACGUAGUUGGCGAGCGUUGUCCGGAUUUACUGGGUGUAAAGGGCGCGUAGGCGGGGCUGCAAGUCAGAUGUGAAAUCUCCGGGCUUAACCCGGGAACUGCAUUUGAAACUGUAGUUCUUGAGUAUCGGAGAGGCAGGCGGAAUUCCGUGUGUAGCGGUGAAAUGCGUAGAUAUACGGAAGAACACCAGUGGCGAAGGCGGCUUGCUGGACGACAACUGACGCUGAGGCGCGAAAGCGUGGGGAGCAAAC
RNAcentral lists this ribosomal RNA (250 nucleotides) under uncultured prokaryote. RNAcentral's name for it is "partial 16S ribosomal RNA". It matches the Rfam family "Bacterial small subunit ribosomal RNA", at positions 524 to 773 of the family's 1533-position model. The record is from RNAcentral.